RNAcentral lists this ribosomal RNA (497 nucleotides) under uncultured bacterium. RNAcentral's name for it is "partial 16S ribosomal RNA". It matches the Rfam family "Bacterial small subunit ribosomal RNA", at positions 28 to 507 of the family's 1533-position model. The record is from RNAcentral.
GAUGAACGCUGGCGGCGUGCCUAAUACAUGCAAGUCGAGCGAACGGACGAGAAGCUUGCUUCUCUGAUGUUAGCGGCGGACGGGUGAGUAACACGUGGAUAACCUACCUAUAAGACUGGGAUAACUUCGGGAAACCGGAGCUAAUACCGGAUAAUAUUUUGAACCGCAUGGUUCAAAAGUGAAAGACGGUCUUGCUGUCACUUAUAGAUGGAUCCGCGCUGCGUUAGCUAGUUGGUAAGGUAACGGCUUACCAAGGCAACGAUGCAUAGCCGACCUGAGAGGGUGAUCGGCCACACUGGAACUGAGACACGGUCCAGACUCCUACGGGAGGCAGCAGUAGGGACUCUUCCGCAAUGGGCGAAAGCCUGACGGAGCAACGCCGCGUGAGUGAUGAAGUUCUUCGGAUCGUAAAACUCUGUUAUUAGGGAAGAACAUAUGUGUAAGUAACUGUGCACAUCUUGACGGUACCUAAUCAGAAAGCCACGGCUAACUACGUG